This 630-nucleotide ribosomal RNA is filed under the name Ovipoculum album. RNAcentral's name for it is "eukaryotic LSU rRNA". It matches the Rfam family "Eukaryotic large subunit ribosomal RNA", at positions 95 to 706 of the family's 3401-position model. The record is from RNAcentral. Lineage: Eukaryota; Fungi; Basidiomycota; Agaricomycetes; Auriculariales.
GAAGAGGGAAAAGCUCAAAUUUGUAAUCUGGCGGUCUCUGGCCGUCCGAGUUGUAAUUUGGAGAGUCGCUUUCCGCGUCGGACCACGUACAAGUCCCCUGGAACGGGGCGUCGUAGAGGGUGAGAAUCCCGUUCACGACGUGGACUACCGAGGCUAUGUGAUGCGUCCUCUAAGAGUCGAGUUGUUUGAGAAUGCAGCUCAAAAUGGGUGGUAAAUUCCAUCUAAAGCUAAAUAUUGGCGAGAGACCGAUAGCGAACAAGUACCGUGAGGGAAAGAUGAAAAGAACUUUGGAAAGAGAGUUAAACAGUACGUGAAAUUGCUGAAAGGGAAACGCUUGGAGUCAGUCGCUUCGCCGAGGACUCAGCCGGGCUUCUGUUCGGUGUACUUCCUCGGUGAGGGGUCAGCAUCGAUUUCGUCUGCGGGAAAACGGCGUGAGGAAUGUGGCACCUCCGGGUGUGUUAUAGCCUUGCGUUAUUGAACCGUGGCUGGGAUCGAGGACCGCAGCGCGCCCGCAAGGGACGAGGCUCGCCUCAGACACGCGCUUAGGAUGCUGGCGUAAUGGCUUUAAGCGACCCGUCUUGAAACACGGACCAAGGAGUCUAACAUGCUCGCGAGUGUUAGAGUGUCAAA